RNAcentral lists this ribosomal RNA (476 nucleotides) under Phyllosticta capitalensis. RNAcentral's name for it is "partial large subunit ribosomal RNA". It matches the Rfam family "Eukaryotic large subunit ribosomal RNA", at positions 113 to 593 of the family's 3401-position model. Lineage: Eukaryota; Fungi; Ascomycota; Dothideomycetes; Botryosphaeriales; Phyllostictaceae. RNAcentral also lists the same sequence under 1 other name. The record is from RNAcentral.
AUUUGAAAGCUGGCGUCUUCGACGUCCGCGUUGUAAUUUGUAGAGGAUGCUUCGGCGAAGACUCCUGCCUAAGUCCCCUGGAACGGGGCGUCAUAGAGGGUGAGAAUCCCGUAUGUGGCGGGCAGUCUAAGCCAUGUGAAGCUCCUUCGACGAGUCGAGUUGUUUGGGAAUGCAGCUCUAAAUGGGAGGUAAAUUUCUUCUAAAGCUAAAUAUUGGCCAGAGACCGAUAGCGCACAAGUAGAGUGAUCGAAAGAUGAAAAGCACUUUGGAAAGAGAGUUAAAAAGUACGUGAAAUUGUUGAAAGGGAAGCGCUUGCAACCAGACUCGCUCGUAGUUGCUCAGCCGGCCUCUUGGCCGGUGUACUCUUCUACGAUCGGGCCAGCAUCAGUUCGGGCGGCAGGAUAAAGGUGUCGGGAAUGUAGCACCCUUCGGGGUGUGUUAUAGCCCGGCGCGGAAUGCUGCCAGCCUGGACUGAG